RNAcentral lists this long non-coding RNA (383 nucleotides) under Zonotrichia albicollis (white-throated sparrow). RNAcentral's name for it is "lncRNA (ENSZALG00000008920.1)". The record is from RNAcentral. Lineage: Eukaryota; Metazoa; Chordata; Aves; Passeriformes; Passerellidae.
GAGCUACAGAGACAGCAGAAGAAAACACUUUGUCUGCAACAGGAAAAGGAUGAUCAUCUUUUCAAGCUCCAUCCUUGAGAAAUUAGACUUGGCAGCUCCAGACUAAGCUGCGUAAAGUGAAAUCUGAGAUAAAAAAUGAAGAGCUGAAGUUGAAGAGCUACAGAAUGAACUGGGUAUAUCCAGCGAGUUAUAUGGGCAGGCCAAAUGUUCAGCUGAAAGACCAGAAGAUAAUUGUUCAUCAGCACAGGCAGCCUUCAGCAGACAAUCAGAAUGUGCUUACAGCGGAAGAAACUCACUUGUGUAAUGCCUUUCUCACUUUUAAAUCUGAUUUCAUAAAAGUUGAAAAGAAGGUGUGUCAAAACUUCAAUACAGCUCAGCCACAG